UGCCCACGGAAAUUGCACCAGAAAACCAUCACAGCUGAAUCUGGUCAGGACGUCACUCUGACAUGUCGAGCUCCAAAAAACAAGAUCAGAGCUGUAAAGUGGAGCAGAGCUGACCUGGGAGAUGAAUAUGUGUUUUGGUGUAAGGGUGGGUGGUUUAUUUUAGAUUACCAGCAUCCAUCUUUUAAGAACCGGGUGGAUCUGCAGGACAGACAGAUGAAGGCUGGAGACGUGUCUUUGAUUCUGAAGAAUGUGAGGGCUGCUGAUGAUGGAAUAUACAUGUGUCAUGUCAACGUGAGAGGAACACGCUCAACUGAGCUCAUCAGCAUCAUCACACUGAGAGUUGUUGAUCCUCCAGGUGAGUGAGUAGAGUUGAGUGUGUGUGUGAUCAGAGGUGAAGCUGCUUCCUGGUUGUUGAUGUUUGUUUCUAAAGAUGUUGUUGAUGAGACUUUGUAGAAAGCAGCUGGUCUGAGUGAUGUGAUCAGAGUGCAGUAGAUAAUGUCUGACAGCAGUUUGAAGAGGAAAUGGAUUCUGUUCUGUUCUUCACUCAUCACCUACCUGACAGCUGACACCUCACACCUGUUUCUCACCUGCAGGUCAGACAGGAGGAUCUACUGUACUUAUGUUUGUUGGUGUGGUUCUUCUCUCUAGUGUUACUGGUGGUGUUUUUGGUGGUGCUUGUGGUUUGGUGACCGAAAUACUGAUAAAUAAACUUUCAAGAAGAUCCAGGAGAUGGCUGUAGAACUCACACAGCCAGAGUUUCAUUUUCUUUAUCAUUUCUGUGAUUAUCAUCAUGUUCAGACUAAGACCAACAGUGUGUCUAUCCUGUCUAUCUGCGUCUUUAAAUUACAGUUUAUUUAUCUCCAGGCUAUCCAUGAGUUUCACUGACACAAACUAAAACUGUUAAAUAUAAAGUAAUGUUCUAUAAUGUCAGAAUUAAUUGGAGUUUUAUUUUAGCUUCAGGAUCAGCAGCUGUUGAAGUAUAAUUACAGACACAGAUUCAACAACACAAACACUGUUUGUCAUAAUCUGAGUGUAGAUGAAGUUCUGUGGAAUUUAAAUGAACAGUUAUCUGGAUCCUCAUAUUCAGGAUCCAUUGAUCAGCUACAACUGAAUGGGGUUUGCAUAAUGUUUUAUUAAUUUCAGUUCAUCAAAUCUGCCUUCUAAAAAACUUUUAUGACAUUAUAUGAAGAUAAAUGUUGUUGCAGGCUCAUUGUUCUUUUGACUUUUUGAAAGAAAGCUGAAGAAUCUAAAGCUCUUAACCAUGUGCACUUUCUCUUGUCUUAAGCUUUUUUGUUAAUAAAGAUUUACAUGCAAAUCAUU
RNAcentral lists this long non-coding RNA (1320 nucleotides) under Oreochromis niloticus (Nile tilapia). Its description in RNAcentral is "lncRNA (ENSONIG00000033279.1)". The record is from RNAcentral. Lineage: Eukaryota; Metazoa; Chordata; Actinopteri; Cichliformes; Cichlidae.